RNAcentral lists this ribosomal RNA (254 nucleotides) under uncultured Acidobacteriota bacterium. RNAcentral's name for it is "uncultured Acidobacteria bacterium partial 16S ribosomal RNA". It matches the Rfam family "Bacterial small subunit ribosomal RNA", at positions 524 to 776 of the family's 1533-position model. Lineage: Bacteria; Pseudomonadati; Acidobacteriota. The record is from RNAcentral.
GACGAACCGUCCUAACGUUGUUCGGAAUCACUGGGUGUAAAGGGCGCGUAGGCGGCCUCCGCAAGUCAGUUGUGAAAUCUCCGGGCUUAACCCGGAAAGGUCAACUGAUACUGCGGGGCUAGAGUGCAGAAGGGGCAACCGGAAUUCUCGGUGUAGCGGUGAAAUGCGUAGAUAUCGAGAGGAACACCUGCGGCGAAGGCGGGUUGCUGGGCUGACACUGACGCUGAAGCGCGAAAGCUAGGGGAGCGAACGGG